Molecule: microRNA precursor, 84 nt
Filed under: Bombyx mori (domestic silkworm)
Lineage: Eukaryota; Metazoa; Arthropoda; Insecta; Lepidoptera; Bombycidae
Description: mir-2807 microRNA precursor family
Rfam family: mir-2807 microRNA precursor family
Source: Rfam by way of RNAcentral
UUAACUCUAAUUUGUAUGCAGUUGGAAUUUUUGCCUACGUUUGCCGCUAGGGGCGCUGUUCCAACUUCAUACAAAUUUGAGUUA